GAUGAACGCUGGCGGCGUGCCUAAUACAUGCAAGUCGAGCGAACGGACGAGAAGCUUGCUUCUCUGAUGUUAGCGGCGGACGGGUGAGUAACACGUGGAUAACCUACCUAUAAGACUGGGAUAACUUCGGGAAACCGUAGCUAAUACCGGAUAAUAUUUUGAACCGCAUGGUUCAAAAGUGAAAGACGGUCUUGCUGUCACUUAUAGAUGGAUCCGCGCUGCAUUAGCUAGUUGGUAAGGUAACGGCUUACCAAGGCAACGAUGCAUAGCCGACCUGAGAGGGUGUUCGGCCACACUGGAACUGAGACACGGUCCAGACUCCUACGGGAGGCAGCAGUAGGGAAUCUUCCGCAAUGGGCGAAAGCCUGACGGAGCAACGCCGCGUGAGUGAUGAAGGUCUUCGGAUCGUAAAACUCUGUUAUUAGGGAAGAACAUAUGUGUAAGUAACUGUGCACAUCUGGACGGUACCUAAGCAGAAAGCCACGGCUAACUCCGU
RNAcentral lists this ribosomal RNA (496 nucleotides) under uncultured bacterium. RNAcentral's name for it is "partial 16S ribosomal RNA". It matches the Rfam family "Bacterial small subunit ribosomal RNA", at positions 28 to 506 of the family's 1533-position model. The record is from RNAcentral.